Molecule: ribosomal RNA, 478 nt
Filed under: uncultured bacterium
Lineage: Bacteria
Description: partial 16S ribosomal RNA
Rfam family: Bacterial small subunit ribosomal RNA
Source: RNAcentral
GAUGAACGCUAGCGGCAGGCCUAACACAUGCAAGUCGAGGGAGAAGCCCUUUCGGGGGCAGAAACCGGCGCACGGGUGCGUAACGCGUAUGCAACCUGCCUUUCACAGGGGGAUAGCCCGAAGAAAUUUGGAUUAAUACCCCAUAAUAUUAUUUGAUGGCAUCAUUUGAUAAUUAAAACUGCGGUGGUGAAAGAUGGGCAUGCGUCCUAUUAGCUAGUUGGAGUGGUAACGGCACCCCAAGGCUACGAUAGGUAGGGGUCCUGAGAGGGAGAUCCCCCACACUGGUACUGAGACAGGGACCAGACUCCUACGGGAGGCAGCAGUGAGGAAUAUUGGUCAAUGGUCGGAAGACUGAACCAGCCAUGCCGCGUGCAGGAAGAAUGCCUUAUGGGUUGUAAACUGCUUUUAUAUGGGAAGAAUAAGGCGUACGUGUACGUUGAUGACGGUACCAUAUGAAUAAGCAUCGGCUAACUCCGUG